UGAUACCAUCAUAAAACAGAUAAAUGUACUUUCCUGAGGUGCUAGUUUUAGGAAAACACUGUUAACCAAUGCAUUCUUGUGUUCUGUGCGUUUUCAGCUUUCUCUCGGCCUGCAAACGCCUUAAUCGUCAAGAUUGCACCAAAACUUAGUUUGAACAAAAAAGCUUUCUCUCGGCCUGCAAACGCCUUAAUAGUCAUGAAUGCACCAAAACUUAGUUUGAACAAAAAAGCUUUCUCUCGGCCUGCAAACGCCUUAAUAGUCAUGAAUGCACCAAAACUUAGUUUGAACAAAAAAGGUUGGAAAACUAUUCUCAAACCAUGAUACCAUCAUGAAAAGGAUAAAUGUACUUUCCUGAGAGGCAAGUUUUAGGAAAACACUGUUAACCAAUGCAUUCUUGUGUUCUGUGCGUUUUCAGCUUUCUCUCGGCAAA
Molecule: long non-coding RNA, 430 nt
Organism: Gasterosteus aculeatus aculeatus (three-spined stickleback)
Lineage: Eukaryota; Metazoa; Chordata; Actinopteri; Perciformes; Gasterosteidae
Source: Ensembl